AGAGUUUGAUCCUGGCUCAGGAUGAACGCUGGCGGCGUGCCUAAUACAUGCAAGUCGAGCGGUAAGGCCUCUUCGGAGGUACACGAGCGGCGGACGGCUGAGUAACGCGUAGGAACGUACCCCAAACUGAGGGAUAAGCACCAGAAAUGGUGUCUAAUACCGCAUGUGCUCUACGGAGUAAAGCUACGGCGGUUUGGGAACGGCCUGCGUCCGAUUAGCUUGUUGGUGAGGUAAUGGCUCACCAAGGCUAUGAUCGGUAGCUGGUCUGAGAGGAUGAUCAGCCAGACUGGGACUGAGAACGGCCCAGACUCCUACGGGAGGCAGCAGUAGGGAAUUUUCCACAAUGGGCGAAAGCCUGAUGGAGCAACGCCGCGUGCAGGAUGAAUGCCUUCGGGUUGUAAACUGCUUUUAUUUGUGACGAAUAUGACGGUAGCAGAUGAAUAAGGAUCGGCUAACUCCGUGCCAGCAGCCGCGGUCAUACGGAGGAUCCGAGCGUUAUCCGGAAUUACUGGGCGUAAAGAGUUGCGUAGGUGGCAUUGUGUGUCGGUAGUGAAAGCGUGUGGCUCAACCAUAUAUACAUUAUCGAAACUGCAAAGCUAGAGGACGAGAGAGGUACCUGGAAUUCCCAGUGUAGGAGUGAAAUCCGUAGAUAUUGGGAGGAACACCGAUGGCGUAGGCAGGGUACUGGCUCGUUCCUGACACUAAGGCACGAAAGCGUGGGGAGCAAACGGGAUUAGAUACCCUAGUAGUCC
Molecule: ribosomal RNA, 752 nt
Filed under: uncultured bacterium
Lineage: Bacteria
Description: bacterial SSU rRNA
Rfam family: Bacterial small subunit ribosomal RNA
Source: RNAcentral